GUGCCAGCAGCCGCGGUAAUACGGAGGAUCCAAGCGUUAUCCGGAUUUAUUGGGUUUAAAGGGUGCGUAAGCGGGUAAUCAAGUCAGCGGUGAAAGUUUGCGGCUCAACCGUAAAAUUGCCGUUGAAACUGGUUACCUUGAGUGUAGAUGAGGUGGGUGGAAUUCGUGGUGUAGCGGUGAAAUGCUUAGAUAUCACGAAGAACUCCAAUUGCGUAGGCAGCUCACUGGGCUACAACUGACGCUGAGGCACGAAGGUGCGGGGAUCAAACAGGAUUAGAUACCCUGGUAGUCCGCACAGUAAACGAUGAAUGCUAGCUGUUGGCGAUACACAGUCAGUGGCACAGCGAAAGCGUUAAGCAUUCCACCUGGGGAGUACGCCGGCAACGGUGAAACUCAAAGGAAUUGACGGGGGCCCGCACAAGCGGAGGAACAUGUGGUUUAAUUCGAUGAUACGCGAGGAACCUUACCCGGGCUUGAAUUGCAUCUGAAUAUGCCGGAAACGGUAUAGCUAGCAAUAGCAGAUGUGAAGGUGCUGCAUGGUUGUCGUCAGCUCGUGCCGUGAGGUGUCGGCUUAAGUGCCAUAACGAGCGCAACCCUCAUCAUUAGUUACUAACAGGUAGUGCUGAGGACUCUAAUGAGACUGCCGGCGUAAGCUGUGAGGAAGGUGGGGAUGACGUCAAAUCAGCACGGCCCUUACGUCCGGGGCGACACACGUGUUACAAUGGGGGGGACAGCAGGCUGCGAAGUGGUGACACCGAGCGAAUCCUCAAACCCUCUCUCAGUUCGGAUCGAAGUCUGCAACCCGACUUCGUGAAGCUGGAUUCGCUAGUAAUCGCGCAUCAGCCAUGGCGCGGUGAAUACGUUCCCGGGCCUUGUACACACCGCCCGUCAAGCCAUGGGAGUUGGGGGUGCCUGAAGUGCGUGACCGCAAGGAGCGUCCUAGGGCAAAACCGAUGACUGGGGCUAAGUCGUAACAAGGUAGCC
Molecule: ribosomal RNA, 984 nt
Filed under: uncultured bacterium
Lineage: Bacteria
Description: bacterial SSU rRNA
Rfam family: Bacterial small subunit ribosomal RNA
Source: RNAcentral